GAUCCUGGCUCAGGAUGAACGCUAGCUACAGGCUUAACACAUGCAAGUCGAGUGGAAACGACACCGAAAGCUUGCUUUUGAUGGGCGUCGACCGGCGCACGGGUGAGUAACGCGUAUCCAACCUGCCCAUCACUUGGGAAUAACCUUGCGAAAGUAAGACUAAUGCCCAAUGAUAUCCCACGAAGGCAUCCGAAUGGGAUUAAAGAUUUAUCGGUGAUGGAUGGGGAUGCGU
Molecule: ribosomal RNA, 232 nt
Filed under: uncultured bacterium
Lineage: Bacteria
Description: partial 16S ribosomal RNA
Rfam family: Bacterial small subunit ribosomal RNA
Source: RNAcentral